UGGACAACACUUUCACCGGCGGACUGCGAGCUCUGUCUGCACUCAGAAAGCUGGUUCCCAUCAUCUUCAGUACUGCUGCUUAAAAACGCGGAAUUCACAAGCUUCAGUGUGGAUCCAGAACACUUAAGAAGAGAUGAUGCCAGCCCCACAGAGGACUUCAGAUGAUGCCAACCCUAAAAACAUACAGCAAUACCAAAUUCUGCUACUAAUUUAUAGCGUUCUUUGUCUGUUUGAUUACGUCAUUACUUGAUCUUUACCACACAUUUCUUCCAUAUGUACAUCAAGCUACUACUACAUAUAUUGUAAAAAUGUCAAUUUGGUGUAAAGCUGCUUUGCAACGAUAUGCAUCGUGAAAAGCGCUAUACAAAUACAUUUGAAUUGAAUUCA
This is a long non-coding RNA of Labeo rohita (rohu), 387 nucleotides long. RefSeq lists it as uncharacterized. The record is from RefSeq and is a predicted model, not a curated record. Lineage: Eukaryota; Metazoa; Chordata; Actinopteri; Cypriniformes; Cyprinidae. The transcript has 2 exons.